RNAcentral lists this ribosomal RNA (609 nucleotides) under uncultured bacterium. RNAcentral describes it as "bacterial SSU rRNA". It matches the Rfam family "Bacterial small subunit ribosomal RNA", at positions 47 to 645 of the family's 1533-position model. The record is from RNAcentral.
CCUAACACAUGCAAGUCGAACGGUAACAGGAAGAAGCUUGCUUCUUUGCUGACGAGUGGCGGACGGGUGAGUAAUGUCUGGGAAACUGCCUGAUGGAGGGGGAUAACUACUGGAAACGGUAGCUAAUACCGCAUAACGUCGCAAGACCAAAGAGGGGGACCUUCGGGCCUCUUGCCAUCGGAUGUGCCCAGAUGGGAUUAGCUAGUAGGUGGGGUAACGGCUCACCUAGGCGACGAUCCCUAGCUGGUCUGAGAGGAUGACCAGCCACACUGGAACUGAGACACGGUCCAGACUCCUACGGGAGGCAGCAGUGGGGAAUAUUGCACAAUGGGCGCAAGCCUGAUGCAGCCAUGCCGCGUGUAUGAAGAAGGCCUUCGGGUUGUAAAGACCGUUCAGCGGGGAGGAAGGGAGUAAAGUUAAUACCUUUGCUCAUUGACGUUACCCGCAGAAGAAGCACCGGCUAACUCCGUGCCAGCAGCCGCGGUAAUACGGAGGGUGCAAGCGUUAAUCGGAAUUACUGGGCGUAAAGCGCACGCAGGCGGUUUGUUAAGUCAGAUGUGAAAUCCCCGGGCUCAACCUGGGAACUGCAUCUGAUACUGGCAAGCUUGA